This 252-nucleotide long non-coding RNA is filed under the name Capsicum annuum. RNAcentral describes it as "long non-coding RNA (CANN_LNC021034)". Lineage: Eukaryota; Viridiplantae; Streptophyta; Magnoliopsida; Solanales; Solanaceae. The record is from RNAcentral.
UAUAGAAAAGUUUAUUUGUAGUACAAUAUGUUUAUUUAUUCUUCAUAUGAUUGUGUAUUUGAUUGAAGAUUUUUGUUGGAUAGGACUGAAAAAAAAUAAAAAAAGAAAAAGACACAGGAGUGAUGGGGUGUGAGGAAGAAGAAGACAUGGGGUGUAGGGUGUAAGGAAGAAGGAAAAAAAAAAGGUAAUGGGUGAAAAUUUUAAAAUGGGUCCUACUUAAAUUUUUUUUGGUCAAGUCAGUGUUAAGGGAGU